AUUGAACGCUGGCGGCGUGCUUAACCCAUGCAAGUCGAACGAAGUGGCGCACGGGUGAGUAACGCGUAAUCCACCUGCCCUUCAGAGGGGGACAACAGUUGGAAACGACUGCUAAUACCGCAUACUGAAGGAGGGGAUUGCGUCUGAUUAGCUAGUUGGAGGGGUAACGACCCACCAAGGCGAUGCUCAGUAACCGGUGUGAGAGGAUGACCGGACACAUUGGGACUGAGACACGGCCCAGACUCCUACGGGAGGCAGCAGGUGGGAAUCUUCCGCAAUGGACGAAAGUCUGACGGAGCAACGCCGCGUGAGUGAUGACGGCCUUCGGGUGGUAAAGCUCUGUUAAUCGGGACGCGGUACCGGAAUAGAAAGCCACGGCUAACUACGUGCCAGCAGCCGCGGUAAUUC
This 408-nucleotide ribosomal RNA is filed under the name uncultured bacterium. RNAcentral describes it as "partial 16S ribosomal RNA". It matches the Rfam family "Bacterial small subunit ribosomal RNA", at positions 30 to 526 of the family's 1533-position model. The record is from RNAcentral.